This 500-nucleotide unclassified non-coding RNA is filed under the name uncultured Glomus. RNAcentral describes it as "SSU rRNA". It matches the Rfam family "Eukaryotic small subunit ribosomal RNA", at positions 591 to 1092 of the family's 1831-position model. Lineage: Eukaryota; Fungi; Glomeromycota; Glomeromycetes; Glomerales; Glomeraceae. The record is from RNAcentral.
CCAAUAGCGUAUAUUAAAGUUGUUGCAGUUAAAAAGCUCGUAGUUGAAUUUCGGGGUCAGUAGGUUGGUCGUGCCACCGGUACGUACUGGUCUCACUGAUUCCUCCUUCCUGAUGAGCUGUAAUGCCAUUAAUUUGGUGUUGCAGGGAAUCUGGACUGUUACUUUGAAAAAAUUAGAGUGUUUAAAGCAGGCUAACGCUUGAAUACAUUAGCAUGGAAUAAUGAAAUAGGACGUUCGAUCCUAUUUUGUUGGUUUCUAGGAUUGACGUAAUGAUUAAUAGGGAUAGUUGGGGGCAUUAGUAUUCAAUUGUCAGAGGUGAAAUUCUUGGAUUUAUUGAAGACUAACUACUGCGAAAGCAUUUGCCAAGGAUAUUUUCAUUAAUCAAGAACGAAAGUUAGGGGAUCGAAGGCGAUCAGAUACCGUCGUAGUCUUAACUAUAAACUAUGCCGACUAGGGAUCGGAUGAUGUUAAUUUUUUAAUGACUCAUUCGGCGCCUUACG